RNAcentral lists this ribosomal RNA (917 nucleotides) under Advenella sp. Its description in RNAcentral is "bacterial SSU rRNA". It matches the Rfam family "Bacterial small subunit ribosomal RNA", at positions 91 to 1004 of the family's 1533-position model. Lineage: Bacteria; Pseudomonadati; Pseudomonadota; Betaproteobacteria; Burkholderiales; Alcaligenaceae. The record is from RNAcentral.
GCGAGUGGCGAACGGGUGAGUAAUGUAUCGGAACGUGCCCAGUAGCGGGGGAUAACUACGCGAAAGCGUGGCUAAUACCGCAUACGCCCUACGGGGGAAAGGGGGGGAUCUUAGGACCUCUCACUAUUGGAGCGGCCGAUAUCGGAUUAGCUAGUUGGUGGGGUAAAGGCCUACCAAGGCGACGAUCCGUAGCUGGUUUGAGAGGACGACCAGCCACACUGGGACUGAGACACGGCCCAGACUCCUACGGGAGGCAGCAGUGGGGAAUUUUGGACAAUGGGGGAAACCCUGAUCCAGCCAUCCCGCGUGUGCGAUGAAGGCCUUCGGGUUGUAAAGCACUUUUGUCAGGGAAGAAAAGGUUUCGGAUAAUACCCGGAGCUGAUGACGGUACCUGAAGAAUAAGCACCGGCUAACUACGUGCCAGCAGCCGCGGUAAUACGUAGGGUGCAAGCGUUAAUCGGAAUUACUGGGCGUAAAGCGUGCGCAGGCGGUUCGGAAAGAAAGAUGUGAAAUCCCAGGGCUCAACCUUGGAACUGCAUUUUUAACUACCGAACUAGAGUAUGUCAGAGGGGGGGUGGAAUUCCACGUGUAGCAGUGAAAUGCGUAGAUAUGUGGAGGAACACCGAUGGCGAAGGCAGCCCCCUGGGAUAAUACUGACGCUCAUGCACGAAAGCGUGGGGAGCAAACAGGAUUAGAUACCCUGGUAGUCCACGCCCUAAACGAUGUCAACUAGCUGUUGGGCCCUUCGGGGCUUAGUAGCGCAGCUAACGCGUGAAGUUGACCGCCUGGGGAGUACGGUCGCAAGAUUAAAACUCAAAGGAAUUGACGGGGACCCGCACAAGCGGUGGAUGAUGUGGAUUAAUUCGAUGCAACGCGAAAAACCUUACCUACCCUUGACAUGUCUGGAAUCCUGAAGA